GGGGAUGUAGCUCAGUGGGAGGGUGCUUGCUUUGCAUGCAUGAAGCCCUGGGUUUGAUCCCUAGCACACACU
Molecule: transfer RNA, 72 nt
Filed under: Ictidomys tridecemlineatus (thirteen-lined ground squirrel)
Lineage: Eukaryota; Metazoa; Chordata; Mammalia; Rodentia; Sciuridae
Also listed under: 1 other name
Description: Spermophilus tridecemlineatus (thirteen-lined ground squirrel) tRNA
Rfam family: tRNA
About the family: Transfer RNA (tRNA) molecules are approximately 80 nucleotides in length. Their secondary structure includes four short double-helical elements and three loops (D, anti-codon, and T loops).
Source: Rfam by way of RNAcentral